CAGAGGGCAGGGUGCUGGCUAACGGCCAGUCGAGGCGACUCGCAGGAAAGUGCCACAGAAAACAGACCGCCCGUUCCGCGAGGGGCGGGUAAGGGUGAAACGGUGCGGUAAGAGCGCACCGCGUCCGGGGUGACUCGGGCGGCUCGGUAAACCCCACCUGGAGCAAGAGCCAAUAGGAGCGCGUCCCCGCUGUCCGGGGGACAGGGGUUGCCCGCCCCAUGCGUUCGGGUUGCUCGCUGAUGAGGUCCCUGGGCAACCAGGGCCCUAGAUGAAUGUUCAUCGCCCGUCCCGAAAGGGGCGGGA
This 303-nucleotide unclassified non-coding RNA is filed under the name Myxococcus sp. 171. Its description in RNAcentral is "partial RNAseP RNA". It matches the Rfam family "Bacterial RNase P class A", at positions 60 to 320 of the family's 367-position model. Rfam says of the family: Ribonuclease P (RNase P) is a ubiquitous endoribonuclease, found in archaea, bacteria and eukarya as well as chloroplasts and mitochondria. The record is from RNAcentral. Lineage: Bacteria; Pseudomonadati; Myxococcota; Myxococcia; Myxococcales; Myxococcaceae.